GCGCGAGUAGUUCAGUGGUAGAAUGUCUCGUUGCCAACGAGAAGGUCGCCGGUUCGAGUCCGGUCUCGCGCU
RNAcentral lists this transfer RNA (72 nucleotides) under Candidatus Daviesbacteria bacterium. Its description in RNAcentral is "tRNA-Gly". It matches the Rfam family "tRNA". From Rfam's summary of the family: Transfer RNA (tRNA) molecules are approximately 80 nucleotides in length. The record is from RNAcentral. Lineage: Bacteria; Candidatus Daviesiibacteriota.